RNAcentral lists this ribosomal RNA (254 nucleotides) under uncultured bacterium. RNAcentral describes it as "partial 16S ribosomal RNA". It matches the Rfam family "Bacterial small subunit ribosomal RNA", at positions 524 to 776 of the family's 1533-position model. The record is from RNAcentral.
UACGUAGGGCGCAAGCGUUAUCCGGAAUUAUUGGGCGUAAAGAGCUCGUAGGCGGUUUGUCGCGUCUGCCGUGAAAGUCCGGGGCUCAACUCCGGAUCUGCGGUGGGUACGGGCAGACUAGAGUGAUGUAGGGGAGACUGGAAUUCCUGGUGUAGCGGUGAAAUGCGCAGAUAUCAGGAGGAACACCGAUGGCGAAGGCAGGUCUCUGGGCAUUAACUGACGCUGAGGAGCGGAAAGCAUGGGGAGCGAACAGG